This is a long non-coding RNA of Carassius auratus (goldfish), 844 nucleotides long. RefSeq lists it as uncharacterized. NCBI's taxonomy places the organism in Eukaryota, Metazoa, Chordata, Actinopteri, Cypriniformes, Cyprinidae. The transcript has 2 exons. The record is from RefSeq and is a predicted model, not a curated record.
AGACAUAGUUCUCCUAUGAAUUAAAAUUCUGUCAUCAUUUACCAAACCUGUAUGACUUCCAAUCUUCUGUGAAUCACAUAAGAAGAUUUGAAAAAUUGUCUUAGUGUUUUUAUUCAUACAGUAAAUGUCAACAUGAGCCCAUGUACAUUAUUUAAGCUUUUAAAAUGCUCGCUUUUGUAUUCCAAAUAAGAAAAAGUAACACAGGUUUGAACUGACUUGAGUGAUAGUAAAAGAUGACAGAAUCUUUAUUUUUAUGUGAUCUAGCCCAUUAAGAAGACAGUACCAGUGUUAAAUCAAAUUCUAAUUAGAAAACAUAGAACCACAUUUAUUUUGAUGUCUCAUCUGCAGGUAUGCCCCACUCUCUGAUUGUGGAAGUGAGUAUCAGAUCUGUGUGGAGCUGCUUGAUGAGAAGAAGAAACCCAUCAGUACCUUUCAGCCUGAGAAAGUUUUCUUUCAACAGGGGAUAAUUUAUCCAUGGCGUCAAAUGUUCCACGUGUUCAGGAAUUACGGACCUGGAGUUCGGUUUAUCCGUUUCACUCAUGGUGGGAAGGAUACUAAAUUUCAGGAAGGCCAACAUGGAAUAAAGGUCACUAAUAGUAGUGUGGAGAUUUAUUUAACUGAUUAGAGUGUUUUCCAGAUUUAAAUCCAUCACCUGCAAAAGUGACCUUCAAGUGAUGAACUGUAGUGAUGCAAUAUGCUUUAAGGAUAUCUUAUAUACCGCUACAUAGCUCUAUAGCAAAUAUAUUAUUUUACAUUAAAUGUUGUAUGUUACACUGUUAAAAUGAAAGACCUUAGUUAAACUGCUCAUCAUAUAAUCAAGUACAAUAAACAUCUCAUAGCUACU